Molecule: ribosomal RNA, 253 nt
Filed under: uncultured bacterium
Lineage: Bacteria
Description: partial 16S ribosomal RNA
Rfam family: Bacterial small subunit ribosomal RNA
Source: RNAcentral
UACGUAGGCAGCAAGCGUUGUUCGGAGUUACUGGGCGUAAAGGGUGUGUAGGCGGUUGGAUAAGUGUGGUGUGAAAUCUCCCGGCUCAACUGGGAGGGUGCGCUACAAACUGUCUGACUCGAGUGUGGGAUGGGUAAGUGGAAUUCCUGGUGUAGCGGUGAAAUGCGUAGAUAUCAGGAGGAACACCAAUAGCGAAGGCAGCUCGCUGGGACGUUACUGACACUGAGGCGCGAAAGCGUGGGGAGCAAACAGG